RNAcentral lists this long non-coding RNA (1113 nucleotides) under Parus major (Great Tit). Its description in RNAcentral is "lncRNA (ENSPMJG00000015807.1)". The record is from RNAcentral. Lineage: Eukaryota; Metazoa; Chordata; Aves; Passeriformes; Paridae.
AUACGGCAAAGGAUCAGUGCACAUUUGCGACUAAUUGUUUUGUUUCCUCCUCCUCCUGCUCUUUUCGGGUUGAGGCCUGUCACUGAGCAGCCGCUUCGCCUUUCUAAUCCCCGAGCUGGAGUAAAGGCGCUGGCCGGCGGGCCUGCGCCCUCCGCCGGGCCUGGGCCUCCCGGCAGCCCAGCACGAACCAACCUCCUCCGCCAGACCCGACCGAGCAGGAAGGGGGGCUGCGAAAUAAACACCUCCGGUUGCCACUUACUCCCCUCUACCCCGGAUAACAGCAAAUCCCCUCUGCUCCUGGCAGUGCUGGGCCGCUGGGCUGAGAGGCCCGGCCCGCUGCUGGAGAGGGCAGGGAGGGGAAGGGGAGACAAGGAGGGGGAUUACCUGAGCAAAUCGGCGUCUGAAUCCAACGAGAAUCCGAGAGAGGGGGAGAGAAAUCCGCCCCCCUCCCUCCUCAGAGGAGCCGCCGCCGCCGCUGGGCCGCCGCCGCCGCCGCGGAGCAGGAGGAGGAGGGGAGAUAAUAUAACAACAAUAAUCCGGGCCGGGAGGGGGGCUGGCUCCUCUUCCGUCUCCUCCUCAGUGCAGCGAACAUGUAGAGCCGGGGGGUGUGCGGCCGAGGCAAAUCCCUUCCCCCCGAGCCUGCUUCACAACAUCAACACGGGCCGGGCCGCGCCGCGCCGAACCGGUUCCGAGUCGCGCUCCGAGCCGGAGCGAGCGGAGGGUGGCCGAGGGGCAGAGCUGCCAAGGGGCCGCCGCCGCUCCCUCCGAGAGUGCGAGCGCAGGAGGGCGGGGAGGGGCGGCCUGGGUACGGUGAGUCGGUACCGAGCGGGGGGGCAGGGGAAGAGAAGGGCGAGGAGGAGGAGGAGGAGGAGGAGGAGGAGGGGGAAGGAUCCUGUGUGUGUCUCUCUCGCUCCCUCUCAGAACAAAAUGCCGACCGGAAGUGCAGCGGCAGGAAUGACUCCCUCCACCGGCGCCAAACACCAGCAACCUCCCCCUUCCCUCCGCUGCCUCCUCCUCGCCGAUCGCUCCCUCGCUCCACCAGCGCCGCUUCCGCCGCUGCAGCUGGAGGGGCUCCCUUGCCUCGUCUUUCCCGGCAGAGCCUCCCCAACGUAG